Molecule: ribosomal RNA, 747 nt
Filed under: uncultured bacterium
Lineage: Bacteria
Description: bacterial SSU rRNA
Rfam family: Bacterial small subunit ribosomal RNA
Source: RNAcentral
AUUGAACGCUGGCGGCAGGCCUAACACAUGCAAGUCGAACGGUAACAGGAAGCAGCUUGCUGCUUCGCUGACGAGUGGCGGACGGGUGAGUAAUGUCUGGGAAACUGCCUGAUGGAGGGGGAUAACUACUGGAAACGGUAGCUAAUACCGCAUAACGUCGCAAGACCAAAGAGGGGGACCUUCGGGCCUCUUGCCAUCGGAUGUGCCCAGAUGGGAUUAGCUAGUAGGUGGGGUAACGGCUCACCUAGGCGACGAUCCCUAGCUGGUCUGAGAGGAUGACCAGCCACACUGGAACUGAGACACGGUCCAGACUCCUACGGGAGGCAGCAGUGGGGAAUAUUGCACAAUGGGCGCAAGCCUGAUGCAGCCAUGCCGCGUGUAUGAAGAAGGCCUUCGGGUUGUAAAGUACUUUCAGCGGGGAGGAAGGGAGUAAAGUUAAUACCUUUGCUCAUUGACGUUACCCGCAGAAGAAGCACCGGCUAACUCCGUGCCAGCAGCCGCGGUAAUACGGAGGGUGCAAGCGUUAAUCGGAAUUACUGGGCGUAAAGCGCACGCAGGCGGUUUGUUAAGUCAGAUGUGAAAUCCCCGGGCUCAACCUGGGAACUGCAUCUGAUACUGGCAAGCUUGAGUCUCGUAGAGGGGGGUAGAAUUCCAGGUGUAGCGGUGAAAUGCGUAGAGAUCUGGAGGAAUACCGGUGGCGAAGGCGGCCCCCUGGACGAAGACUGACGCUCAGGUGCGAAAGCGUGG